Molecule: non-coding RNA, 90 nt
Filed under: Elusimicrobiota bacterium
Lineage: Bacteria; Pseudomonadati; Elusimicrobiota
Description: Elusimicrobia bacterium c-di-GMP sequence
Rfam family: c-di-GMP-I riboswitch aptamer
About the family: GEMM was predicted in a large-scale screen for bacterial structured RNA regulatory elements. Genes associated with GEMM are involved in a diverse array of functions, including chemotaxis regulation, signal transduction, secretion and chitin.
Source: RNAcentral
GUGCGAUAAAGGCAAAUUCCGGCGAAAGCCGGAAGACGCAAAACCACGGGGCUUCUUGCCGACAACGGCACAGCCAGCCGGGUUACCGAA